RNAcentral lists this non-coding RNA (24 nucleotides) under Arabidopsis thaliana (thale cress). The record is from RNAcentral. Lineage: Eukaryota; Viridiplantae; Streptophyta; Magnoliopsida; Brassicales; Brassicaceae.
GUCAGUCGUUGGACCUCCCGUGCC